GUCUCCUUCCCCUUCCGCAAACGUCGCUUCUGGCGGCUCGCUCUCCUCGACGGCGACCGAUGAUGAGCUCCCGUCUGCUUCCCCACCGUCUUGCUGAGACCAAUCCGAAGUCUCGGCAACUGAGGUGACGAAAGGCGACUUCUUUAGGUGGGUUUUGGUUUUGAGAGAGAGGGAGAAGCGGGAGAAUGAGAGCGGGAGGUUAGUGCGUUUGGUGAGGAGGGAGCAGCGAGUUCUGGAGGAAGAGAUAGUGGAGAAUGAAGGGUGAGAGAAGAUGGUGGAAGAGGAGGAUUCUGACAUGGCUAAUGGCCUCAAGCUCGAGGUUACUAUUGAAGAAGCCAUUGGAGAAUUGUGAGAGAAGAGAAGGAAGUGUUGAAAAAAGAAGAGGAAGGGAGGGUUUUAGAACGGUGAGGGAGAUAUGGAUAAGGAGGCCCAAGACAGCAAGAGAAGAAAUAAAAAUGUUAGAUAAACUGAACCAAAAAACUAUGUUUGGUAAAUUGAACCAAAACAAAAAAAAAAUUAUUUAAUGCAAACAAUAAUAAAUAUUUUAAGUUUUAACCAUAGUUUUUGUUUUUAUUAUUUGUUUCUUAAUUUGAGUUCUGUGGUUAUAUUUAUCGAUGAAAGUUUAUAAUAUACUGGUUAAGUCAAUGGUUUGAAUUGUUGACAAAAAAAAUGUCAAUGGUUUGAAUUUGAUUUGCAAGCAUAUUGAGUUUUGUGAUUUGAUAUGGCAUUACACUCGCCACUAAUAGUUCUUCUGUAUAAAAUAUUGUUGUUGUUUUCCUCCUUCUAAAACUCGGUGAAUGCAAUGUUAAAACACACAUUCUAUCUUGAAUGGCAUGUACUCAUUGUUUCUCAUGGUUUCGGACUUUGAGUAAGGAUUGGACGUUGAUACUUGCAUUAGCCUUCUAAUUAUAUCACUCAGCUUAUCAUAGUUGAAUAUGGAAAUGGAAAGAGACAUUUGGUUACCACUUAGCACUAUCGGAGACGUCCAUAUGAUUUUGGUGUGAAGCAACAAUUAUAUCAUAAAGAACAAUAUACUAAUUACAUACAAAGUUCUAAAGACAUAUAUAUGUCAGCAGUCCUGGUUUUUGACAAGUUCUCAGAAGUAUGUAAUUUGAUCUUCAUUGAAGUUGUAAACACUUUCAAAGUCUUGAUCCAUCUCAGAUACCUAUUAGUUACAACUGAAUUAACCGGCCCACGGGGACAGCACAAGCUCAACAAGAUUACCAUCAAAGUUUUCAAUAGGAGACAUGUGUUUGUAACCAAUGUGGAAAAUUCUCUAACUAGUUUAAUGUUAUAUAUGACGAAGAAAACAGGGGGAAACUAUCUUUAUAACUUUGUAACUUUAUAUUCGCAUAAUUUAUUAAGUACUGACUUGCCAAUUCGAACCUGCUACACAAUACCCACUGCAUCACAUCGUUCGCUGCAACCAGCAACAACAGAAUCUUUUAUAUUUCUUCUUUUCUUUCCUGAGUUAAUAUGUUGCAGAGCAGCACAUGUGACAUGACAUGGCCAAGAGUAGGGCAACCACUUUGCUUGCUAUUUAUGACAACACUGAGAUUUGACGACCCUCCUUUCUUACAUGGGAUAUACUGUAUUUUGAUUUAGUGGGUUAGAAAUCAAAUAAAACCAUUAUCGUUUUUUUUUUCUUGUAUUCAUAAUCAUUCCCUGGUGCAACGCCAACCUAGGCCUUAUACUUUCAUUCCUUCCGAAUGUUACAUAGGUGUGCAGUAUAUAUAACGUUGCAGGGUCUUUUCCAAACUUGGUUUAGUACCUAUGAAAACUUUUACUAGUUGUGAUGUCUUCCAUUCGUUACACAAAUUCAUAGGUUCUGUACAUACACAUUCUUUCAUUUGAUCAAUAAUUUGACAUUUCAUCAAAAAGAAUGUUACAUAGUUUCAGUAAAAAAAAAAAAAUAUAUAUAUAUAUAUAUAUAUAUAUAACUAACGACUUCUGAUGCAAUUAGCGUUUGCAUUCAUUUUUUAUUUGGAAUGUGUAAAACCACUUAUAUAUUUUUAGUAUAUUUUAUUCUAAAAUAGAAGAAAAAAUCUAUUAUAGAUAUAGAAUAAUAUUUUGUUUACCUUUUUCAGCAUUUUGUUUGCCUUUAUAUUUAGAAGUAAAAACAGUAUUCAUCUAUAUUUUUCUGAAAAAAAUAGAGAAACUUUAUUAUAUAAACAUACAUUAUAUUAAAUUCAUUUCUAUAGUGGAAUUUCUUUAUUUUAUAAAGAAAUAUAGAGAAAGAAUAGAAAUGUUUUAAUAAUAAGUAUUAAUAGUAAAUCGUAUUUGUUAUUAUAAAAUGUUGGUGAUGGAUCAUUGGAUCAAAAAUAAAUUAAUAAGGAGGGCAAAGAGACAAGUGUGAAGAUUAAUGGAUAUGUCUGGUCGAGAAGCUAAGAGCCAAGGUUGGGGAUAAGAGAGAGUGAAAGAAAGUUCCAAGACAUAGAUCAGGCCGAGAAAUGAAUCAUCAAUGUCGCUCUAUUCUCAUACACUCUGUUUCCUCUGUCCUUUGUCUUGAGUCUAUUAUUUCUUAUGAUGUUAAGCCUGUUACACAUGCAUGAAUAUAAUGGACCAUUUCUUUUUUUGUAUCCCGACAAGUGUUGCAAUUCCAUAUUCUGAUAAAAGCGACUUCACGAGCACGAUCAAGACUUUUUGCUUAUUCUUUACUAUCUUUUUAUUUUAGUUAGUGUUUAUCUUCUCAAAUCAAAAUAUGCCAUCAUGAUGAGUCGAAUCAAACCACAUUUGUUUCAGAAUAUUUUUUACGGCAUUUGCUAGCAAGUAGAUAUGAACUUAUAUGCCUAAGUUUCUUAAUAUGUUAAUAUACAUAUAUAGACAAUCAAGAUCUUAUCCGUAGAUAAAUGAACUUUUUCAUAGAACUUGAAAACACCUUUUCUCUAUGUUCUCGUGAUGUCUUAAUGUUAUAACUUUUUGUUUAACGACUCUUAAUGUUAUAACUUAGUUUAGAUACAUCUCACUUUCUCAAUUUCUAAUUAAGACUUGGCUCAUUUUAAAGAUAGUCAUAGCUCUUAGGUUAGCGUAUUUUUGACAGAUCGGCCGCUAAAUACUACCCUUACAUAACCAUGCAAGGCCAUAUUUAUAAAACCUAGAAAAUGGUAUCUGAAAGAUUUAAGAUUAAGAGUAAUUCUCUCACAAGUCUCAGAAAACUAGCUUGUUUUGCGAGUUCUUUUGCUCUCUCUCUAUGUUGACUAACCUAAAUCUUCUUCAAAUUCCUCUUCUUUUAUACUUUUGAGUUCUUUUCAUACUCAAAUCAUUUUUUUCGUCCAGCUGCUUCUUCUUUUCUUUUUUUUGAACACACGUCCAGCUGCUUCAAACUCUUAAUAUUCUUGGGCUUAUAGUAUUGAGGCCCUCCAAUUAGAAGACACAAAUUUUAGGCUCAUCAUAUACUGGACUUGAACAUUUCAUCUUCUUUUAACCUUUGAUGAAUAUAUUGCUCAACAAUCCUUCACCACAAUGUGAUAACAAACAAGAUAUACCCCAUGAAGCAAAGCCGAUGAUUUGGAAUCGUGAUCGUCAAAUAUCUAGACGUAUAACAAGAUCAUCUUCACUAUGAUUACAGCUUCACUUUAGCGUGUGGUUAACAAGAACCCAAUCCUCACCUGUCACUUCCUUUCACCUCUUUGAAAAACGAUAGAACAAGAUCCAUCUUACAUCAUUUAAGAGAAGGGAGUGCUUUGCUAUAGAAGCUUUCCACUAUUUGGCGCGUUUGUGGUGAGAGGCUCCUUGUUGCUAAUAUUUAAAACACUGACAAGGAAUAAUGACAGAGAAAUGUGGAUAGACCGUCAAGGAGAAAUAAUGAUACAAAAUUACAUUAGAACUUAGAAGAAGCUUCGCAUUCGGAACUCUGUCCCCAAAAAAAAAUCACCAAAGAGUGUAAAAAUCUCGUCUAAACAAAAUGCAAAGAGACAGAGGGCAGAGAGAGAUCUUUCUCAGUCCUUAAAAUCCACGCCUUGGACGCUCCUCCGCUACAUUCACUCUGAUCGCUCUACCCUCCAUGUUCUGCAAACAACAACAAGCCACAAAGGAAUUGAACAUCACAAAAUCAUGUAAGAACUGCAUUAGCAUAAUAUAGAAGAGGAACAUGAGGGGGGUACCUGUCCAUCAAGAGCAGCGAUGGCAUCAUUGAGUUCAGUCUCAUUAGACAUUGUCACAAAACCAAACCCACGUGAACGACCUGUCUCACGGUCAUAAACCACUCUAGCUUCCACAACUUUGCCAUGCUCACUGAACACUUGUUCUAGACGACCAUUGUCCACAUCCCACGGUAGGUUUCCAACGUAGACUCUGAAUGCAGGUUCAUAUACCCGAGGUUGACGUUCUGGACGUGAUCCUCUGGGUGCUGCCUUGUUCACCGUCAAAAGCCGUCCGUUUAGAUCCUAACCAAAAAAAAAAAAAUGAAAAGAUCAACUCAGAUGCUCAAUAAUGUUCUCACAAACAUAAUCAGAAGUUGCAGACAAAAAAAUCUCCAACUCAACUCAGCUGCCAAAAUGUCUCAGACACAACAUUUCAAUGCAAAUACAACAAAUGAGUAUGAGAUAAUGCAUCAAUCAAUAAAAUGCUUUCUUAGAGCAGAAAGAAUAAAACUUUGGUUGGAUUAAGAGCAGACAAUGCCACUUAUGACCCAAAACAAAAGGAUCAGUAUCACUCCAACUCCACCAAUACAUGCUAAUAGUUGAGAUAUGAUUGAUACACAUAUGAGAACUUACAUAACGGUUGAACUUCUCAACAGCAGUCUCAGCUUCUUCCACUGUACUCAUUGUCACAAAUCCAAACCCACGACUCUGGUCGGUUUCCCUAUUGUAUAUAACCUUCAACCAGUGAAGAACCCAAAGGAACAAGUUAGUAUUAGCAAACGCUAUCUCUUGAACUAUAAACAAAUGUGAGAACUCAACUAACAACAACAUCAACAGUACCAAUAUACUCAAAACCAAUAGAGUGUGAAAGUUCCAUCUAAUUCAUUUCAAAGAUGCUUCAAACAGUUAAAAGCCAAGAACUUUGACUUCAUCUCGUUCAUUUGACACAUAAAGGAUGCAAAUUGCAAUGCACAGAACAUACAAGAACGAAACCAAACUCACCUCGGCGAUUUCAACUGUACCGGCUUGCUCAAAGAGCAUAGCCAAGGCCUGGCUGUCAACGUCGUAAGCCAAGUUUCCGACGAAGAGCUUCGCUUCUUCCGGCGGCUCCGUAAAGUCGCCGCCUUCGCUCACGUCUCCUUCCCCUUCCGCAAACGUCGCUUCUGGCGGCUCGCUCUCCUCGACGGCGACCGAUGAUGAGCUCCCGUCUGCUUCCCCACCGUCUUGCUGAGACCAAUCCGAAGUCUCGGCAACUGAGGUGACGAAAGGCGACUUCUUUAGGUGGGUUUUGGUUUUGAGAGAGAGGGAGAAGCGGGAGAAUGAGAGCGGGAGGUUAGUGCGUUUGGUGAGGAGGGAGCAGCGAGUUCUGGAGGAAGAGAUAGUGGAGAAUGAAGGGUGAGAGAAGAUGGUGGAAGAGGAGGAUUCUGACAUGGCUAAUGGCCUCAAGCUCGAGGUUACUAUUGAAGAAGCCAUUGGAGAAUUGUGAGAGAAGAGAAGGAAGUGUUGAAAAAAGAAGAGGAAGGGAGGGUUUUAGAACGGUGAGGGAGAUAUGGAUAAGGAGGCCCAAGACAGCAAGAGAAGAAAUAAAAAUGUUAGAUAAACUGAACCAAAAAACUAUGUUUGGUAAAUUGAACCAAAACAAAAAAAAAAUUAUUUAAUGCAAACAAUAAUAAAUAUUUUAAGUUUUAACCAUAGUUUUUGUUUUUAUUAUUUGUUUCUUAAUUUGAGUUCUGUGGUUAUAUUUAUCGAUGAAAGUUUAUAAUAUACUGGUUAAGUCAAUGGUUUGAAUUGUUGACAAAAAAAAUGUCAAUGGUUUGAAUUUGAUUUGCAAGCAUAUUGAGUUUUGUGAUUUGAUAUGGCAUUACACUCGCCACUAAUAGUUCUUCUGUAUAAAAUAUUGUUGUUGUUUUCCUCCUUCUAAAACUCGGUGAAUGCAAUGUUAAAACACACAUUCUAUCUUGAAUGGCAUGUACUCAUUGUUUCUCAUGGUUUCGGACUUUGAGUAAGGAUUGGACGUUGAUACUUGCAUUAGCCUUCUAAUUAUAUCACUCAGCUUAUCAUAGUUGAAUAUGGAAAUGGAAAGAGACAUUUGGUUACCACUUAGCACUAUCGGAGACGUCCAUAUGAUUUUGGUGUGAAGCAACAAUUAUAUCAUAAAGAACAAUAUACUAAUUACAUACAAAGUUCUAAAGACAUAUAUAUGUCAGCAGUCCUGGUUUUUGACAAGUUCUCAGAAGUAUGUAAUUUGAUCUUCAUUGAAGUUGUAAACACUUUCAAAGUCUUGAUCCAUCUCAGAUACCUAUUAGUUACAACUGAAUUAACCGGCCCACGGGGACAGCACAAGCUCAACAAGAUUACCAUCAAAGUUUUCAAUAGGAGACAUGUGUUUGUAACCAAUGUGGAAAAUUCUCUAACUAGUUUAAUGUUAUAUAUGACGAAGAAAACAGGGGGAAACUAUCUUUAUAACUUUGUAACUUUAUAUUCGCAUAAUUUAUUAAGUACUGACUUGCCAAUUCGAACCUGCUACACAAUACCCACUGCAUCACAUCGUUCGCUGCAACCAGCAACAACAGAAUCUUUUAUAUUUCUUCUUUUCUUUCCUGAGUUAAUAUGUUGCAGAGCAGCACAUGUGACAUGACAUGGCCAAGAAAAAGAAGUAUUAUAGUAUUGGUUAGUUAUUUGGAGAAAAACAAAUACACUGGUUAGUUAUUUUAGUUGUUAUAAAAUUUCAAAUUUUGAAACAUAUCCACAAUCAGUGGAGAGUAGUCAACACAAAUACGAGACCACUCCAUCAAAAGUAGGACUGCUGAGACCCAUGACUGUUUUCAGUCAUCUUUUUGGAGUAUUUUUCCCUUUUUCCUAUUCCAAUGUUUUCUUCAAAUGUCACCAUUUUUUUUUAUGUUCUAGCACGGUCACAUGCUUUUCUCUAUUUUGAAGGGUAAGUUUCUUUAUCUAAACCACAAUCGAUGCAUCGACCAGAGUGAAAAAGUCGUGGCUUUGGUCAAACAUUGACUGGCUCAAACAACUUUGACCCAAAAGAGAGUUGCCCAUUUUACACAACAUUCCAAACUUCUGAAUGGGUGGGUCUAUGGCUAUAAUAUCAAAGAUUCACAAGAGAGAGUUGCUUGUGUCAAAGACAGAGAUUCACAAGGAAACAUAAAUUAUAUUAAUAUCAAAGAUCAACACAUCUGCACUUGUUCCUACACUCGAACCUCCUAAUAAUAGAUUCCUUAAAACAGAGAAUCCUUACAAGGGUCCUAAAGAGCAGUAAAGCGAGAGGUUGUAUUCUCCUUAAUUUUACCCCCAUAAAGAAGUAAAAUCAUAAAGACAGUAAAUUAAGAACUACAGAAAGUUAUAACUUAACUCCCUUAAUUGGUGGCUUUAAUUGCCUUUUCUAUACUAAUUAAGCUAAAAAAAACCUUAACUGACCCACUUAAGGCCACCACAAUCAGCAACGAGAACCCUUACGGCAAUUGAGUGCACCAGAACCCACCGUCAAUGGUCCAACAAGAGAAGACGGUUUCGCCCCAAGACUCGACGCCUUAGCAUAGCUAGACGACUGAGCACCACCGGACGGAGUAAAAAACGCACCGUUUAACAACAAAUCACCAGAUGAUCUCCAAUUCCAUCUCUUCCACUCACUCUCCGGCGCAUCCUCAUGCUUAGUCACCUCUUUGCUGAAUCUAAUAUUCGGAGCCACAAAUCUAUUCCCUUGACUAUUGAUAGUAGGAUUAGCACUUCCACCAAUCGCAUACAUCUCCCAAUGUGUAUAGUCAUUGUUCACCACAUGGAAGUACCCAUGUCUACACCUACAUAACAUUGGUCCCAACACAUUAACUCACAAAACCACAUUAACUAACUCAAAAUAAAAAAAAAAUCAAAUCUUAUUUACCUUGGCAUUCUUUGAACAAGCCCUUCACCAAAAUGAUUAAAAGCAAUAGUAAUCUGCAUGUUCUUGUCACGAACGUAAGUAUCACUAUGCCCAAGCAACAUAACCUUAUCAUGAUGCGUCAUGUAGUUAUUAGACAAAGUAAUCGCCGUCGAGCCCAUUAUAGCAUCAAUAAGCCCAUCUUCACAGUUAGACAACGAACAGUGAUCAACCCAAACAUGACUCCCUCCGAAGAUCGACACACCGUCACCGUCAGACACCGUUCUCCACCCGUAGUGCCUCGGCGAGCUCCGCACCAUAGCGUUCCCGCCUCGCUUGCAGUCGUGGAUGUGAACCCCGUGGAUGAUGAUGUUCGUCACGUACUGGAUCGUGACGCAAGGCCCGCCGGCGAUGUGCACGGAGGCGCCGCGGCCGUCGAUGGUUUUGAAAGAGUUCAUGAUGAGCUCCUCUUUGAGGCGGAUGGUCAUGUCUCGCUGGAAGAUGAUCCAGAGGGGCUCGUCCUGGACCACGGCGUGGCGUAAAGUUCCGGGCUUGGGGGUCACCGGGUCGUCGUUGCCUGAGUCGGUGACGACGUAGAUGCGACCGUCGCGGCCGCCGAUGGCGUUUUUGCCGAACCCGAUGGCGCAGUCGGCGAGGCGGUGACGGUGGGACUCCCAGUGUGGGUCGCAGCGCCAGCAGUCGUCGAUUGGGUUGCCGGUGGUGCAGGAGAGGUAGCCUAGCUUCCUCCGUGCUGCGACCGAUGCGUUGAUGCUCCUGUGUAACAGAGAGGAAGCAAGAAAGGUUGAGACUUUAUUACAUUAGAGAUUUUUGUAAAGUUUGCGCCUUUAUGGUCUCAUAGUAACACUAACUGAGAUUUGAGGUUUAUUGUCGGACUUGUGAAGAGAAACAAGCUAAGUGAGAAGUUGGGUUUCAUGUAAAAAUGUAGGUUAAGGAGAAAUGUGGAAGAAAGAUUCGUACUUGUGAACUUCUUCGACGAUGGCUUCUGGGUCUGGGACUGGUGAAGAGAAGAUCAGUGGAGCAUAGAGAAGAAAGGAGAGUAUGGAGAUAAAGAGCUUCUUCGUCUGCAUUUUUCUUCUCUCUGUUUUCAGUACAGACCAACUCUCUCACUCUCUUGGAUUUAAGUGAGAGAAGAGGGAAACAAAUAAGGAUGAGGGAAGUUUUGAGUUGGGAUGGAGAGAAGAUGAAACUUUGGGGGUUUAUAUAAAACAAUGUUAAAGGACGUUUGUUAUUGGAAUUUUCGGUUUAGGUCCCACUCUUUUAUUUCUUCUUUAGUAAAAGAAACUUAUAUUAUAAUGCCCAGGAUGAACCAAUUGAAUGUUUACAGCCAUUACAAUUAAAACCUUCCAUAAGCUAACUGCUGACAUUAAAACAAACACUCCAGUCUAAUUAGGUCGAAAAUGUUGUACUUUUCAAAUAAGUCCCACUUGAUAUGUUUAGCUGAAUAAAAACAAUAGGAGGUUGGUUUGAGUAAUAGUAAGGAUCCAAACGUAGUAACUAGUAACCAUUCUAGUUGAUAACAAAUACAGACAAAAAAAAAAGCUCAAUGUAUAGGAUGUCAAACCAGCAGAAAAGUAUCAGCUUAUUAUAGCAGUUUUCACUCAAAAUAAAUAUAACAAAAGUUUGAGAUGUUAUGCAAAGUUGUGAACCAUAUAACCACCUCACCUACCAUAACGAUGCAAAUAUAAAUUGGUUAUAGAUUGCAAAUUUUCUUUCUCUCAUGCUUCACUUUUGCAUUUCAUUAGACUUUACCUUUUAGGUUUUAGAUGUACACGUCCCGUAUAAAUUCAGGAUAUAUAGUUACGUAUAUUGCAAAACUAAAUGUGAUAUACAUUAGUUGCACAAAAAUAAACAUUGAAAGGUGGUGUUUCGAAAAAAAACACAUUAAAAUUGUCCGUAUCAGAACCGUUAUUCCAGAACAAAUCAUUUGGUUAUUCUGAGACCUAUAACUCUCGAGUCUCAACCAUAUACUAGCAACAUGUUAGGUAAAAUGUCAACUAAAAGCGAAGAUAAACCGACAGAACAUGUCAAGUACUCGAGUAAGGAAAAAACAAAAUCUAUAGAAAUGAGAUUAUGAAAAAAGAAAAUGGUAGGGACAAGCCAUGUAAUUAGUCGAAUGAUUCCAUCAAAGAUAAAUACUCCUUGAGUUAUAGAGUUAUAUGAUUUUUAAUAUAUGGUUUUUGUUUCAAGCUCAGUUGAUAUAUGAAAUUUCUUCUUCCUCUUUUACUAUUGACCAAUUUUUGUUUAAAUCUUAAACUGUAGAGGAAAUUAGUUUCAGCUAUUUUCUUAAUGAUUCGUGUUUGUGAAAAGGACGUGAAAACGUCUCUUAAUGCACCAGUCACGGCAGGGAAAUUAGAUACGAAUCUAUGCGGUAAAAGUCAAUAGUUAAUAGGGACUGGUAAUCAUAUGUUAAUCCGGAAAGCAUUGGAGAGACGUAAAGUGAAAGUAUAAGUGGGACAUCCGGACAUGUAAGGCCUCGUGAUUUGCAGGUUUUACGGGAUUCCUUUCAAUUGUAAGGUUGUUUUGGUAGUUUAAGCAUGCUGGUCUUUGGACAACGUUACCAAAUGAUACGGCUGGUUUUAAAAAUUAAAGUUAAAAUGAGAAAAUAACGAUAAUGUCACUUCUUGAAUAGAAGUAUAAAUAUAGAUAUAUCUUGUCGGUAUGAACAUUUCUCAUUUGAAAGUUGAAAAUUCAUCAAAUAUUAACUUGAUCCAUAAUUCUAACUCAAAGUUGGUCUCGUCUAUUGGUCAGGAAUUGGAAGUUCAUCUAAUUUAAAUUUAAAUAUGUACAUUUAUUUUCUGCAAGUAAAGUAUUUAUGCUACCUUAGCAAUUUUCAUGUGAAUCAAUAUUUACCCCUGUUCAUAACACAAUGGAAUAGUGGGAAUCAACAAGGAGAGAGGCCCGCUCAACUAAAAUCUUCAUUCUUGACCUUCACUCCACCAACAAGAGUUGAUCAUAAAAAUAAAUUUGACAACGACAGUGAAGAUUUGAGUCAUCACAGCACAUGCAUCCCAAAACUUAUUAUUAUUUGGAGGGCAAAGCAAGACAACAAUUACAUGCUCGACAUUAUCUUUCUUUCUUUUGUUUAGUCAUUUUUGUCCGUAAAGCUCGCCGAUAAUUUGAACACAAAAGUAUAAUCUUAUGGCAUCCACUCACAAAUAUACUACGUGGCACAUUCAUACAAAUGUCUUAUUCGUCGUUAUGGGGACCCCAAAUGAUUACUUGUAUACAACGGAGUCUUGAUUGAAUCCAAGUUUUGUUGACGUACAACUUGGAAGGAUUCCAGUGUCAUCAUACAGUUAAUAUAAGA
Molecule: long non-coding RNA, 11278 nt
Filed under: Brassica napus (rape)
Lineage: Eukaryota; Viridiplantae; Streptophyta; Magnoliopsida; Brassicales; Brassicaceae
Description: long non-coding RNA (BNAP_LNC002984)
Source: RNAcentral